GAUGAACGCUAGCUACAGGCUUAACACAUGCAAGUCGCAGGGUAACAUGAGGAAAGCUUGCUUUCCUUGAUGACGACUGGCGCACGGGUGAGUAACGCGUAUCCAACCUUCCCAUAACUACGGGAUAACCCGUUGAAAGACGGCCUAAUACCGUAUGAUAUCGUUUGCUGACAUCAAAUAACGAUUAAAGGUUUAGCGGUUAUGGAUGGGGAUGCGUCUGAUUAGCUUGUUGGCGGGGUAACGGCCCACCAAGGCGACGAUCAGUAGGGGUUCUGAGAGGAAGGUCCCCCACAUUGGAACUGAGACACGGUCCAAACUCCUACGGGAGGCAGCAGUGAGGAAUAGUAGGCAAUGGGCGAGAGCCUGAACCAGCCAAGUAGCGUGCAGGACGACGGCCCUAUGGGUUGUAAACUGCUUUUAUGUGGGGAUAAAGUGCGUGACGUGUCAUGCAUUGCAGGUACCACAUGAAUAAGGACCGGCUAAUUCCGUG
Molecule: ribosomal RNA, 490 nt
Filed under: uncultured bacterium
Lineage: Bacteria
Description: partial 16S ribosomal RNA
Rfam family: Bacterial small subunit ribosomal RNA
Source: RNAcentral